This 307-nucleotide long non-coding RNA is filed under the name Anser brachyrhynchus (Pink-footed goose). RNAcentral describes it as "lncRNA (ENSABRG00000016850.1)". Lineage: Eukaryota; Metazoa; Chordata; Aves; Anseriformes; Anatidae. The record is from RNAcentral.
AUAUUGCCAUUGAAAUUACCCCACCUGGAAGAAAGUAAUGCUGUCCGGCUGGCGUGCCAUGGAAGGAGACAUCACUGUACUUAGACUCACCCCAGCGCUUCUGCCCACACAACUUCCUUUCUCGAAGUCACGCUGUAGAGAGAAAAUUUUUUCCUUCCACUUGCUCAGCAGAGCAUGCAGCUUCCAUGAACUGAGGCACACCGUUAAACUAAUCUUCACCAGCUUUCACUCAUUGUCUGGAAAAGUUGCUGUGAGUGGCUCUGAUCGGCCUGAUUUCUGCUUCUCUCACUGCUUAGUUUUUGUGUGA